RNAcentral lists this ribosomal RNA (624 nucleotides) under Arthrobacter sp. TN154B. Its description in RNAcentral is "bacterial SSU rRNA". It matches the Rfam family "Bacterial small subunit ribosomal RNA", at positions 12 to 651 of the family's 1533-position model. Lineage: Bacteria; Bacillati; Actinomycetota; Actinomycetes; Micrococcales; Micrococcaceae. The record is from RNAcentral.
UUUGAUCCUGGCUCAGGAUGAACGCUGGCGGCGUGCUUAACACAUGCAAGUCGAACGAUGAUGCCAGCUUGCUGGUGGAUUAGUGGCGAACGGGUGAGUAACACGUGAGUAACCUGCCCUUGACUCUGGGAUAAGCCUGGGAAACUGGGUCUAAUACCGGAUAUGACCUUCCAUCGCAUGGUGGUUGGUGGAAAGCUUUUGUGGUUUUGGAUGGACUCGCGGCCUAUCAGCUUGUUGGUGGGGUAAUGGCCUACCAAGGCGACGACGGGUAGCCGGCCUGAGAGGGUGACCGGCCACACUGGGACUGAGACACGGCCCAGACUCCUACGGGAGGCAGCAGUGGGGAAUAUUGCACAAUGGGCGCAAGCCUGAUGCAGCGACGCCGCGUGAGGGAUGACGGCCUUCGGGUUGUAAACCUCUUUCAGUAGGGAAGAAGCGUAAGUGACGGUACCUGCAGAAGAAGCGCCGGCUAACUACGUGCCAGCAGCCGCGGUAAUACGUAGGGCGCAAGCGUUAUCCGGAAUUAUUGGGCGUAAAGAGCUCGUANGCGGUUUGUCGCGUCUGCCGUGAAAGUCCGGGGCUCAACUCCGGAUCUGCGGUGGGUACGGGCAGACUAGAGUGAUG